CUCGUAGGCGGUUCGUCGCGUCCGGUGUGAAAGUCCAUCGCUUAACGGUGGAUCUGCGCCGGGUACGGGCGGGCUGGAGUGCGGUAGGGGAGACUGGAAUUCCCGGUGUAACGGUGGAAUGUGUAGAUAUCGGGAAGAACACCAAUGGCGAAGGCAGGUCUCUGGGCCGUUACUGACGCUGAGGAGCGAAAGCGUGGGGAGCGAACA
This 207-nucleotide ribosomal RNA is filed under the name uncultured bacterium. Its description in RNAcentral is "partial 16S ribosomal RNA". It matches the Rfam family "Bacterial small subunit ribosomal RNA", at positions 568 to 774 of the family's 1533-position model. The record is from RNAcentral.